AGUGGACUAUACCAGUUAUUACCAGGGCCUAUGGGAUUGCCAUGGUGACCAGCCAGACGAACUGUCCUUCCAAAGGGGUGACCUCAUCCGAAUUCUGAGCAAGGAGUAUAACGCGUAUGGCUGGUGGGUAGGAGAACUGAACAGCCUCAUUGGGAUUGUUCCAAAGGAGUAUCUCAUCACUGCCUUUGAAAUGGAAGAAAUAUGAAGCCCAGGACACAUAUCCUUGUCUCUGGCCUGCCUUUAUGAAGAAACCGAUCGUCAGGAGUUCCUAUCCCCUACCCCAGCCACCCCACCAACACCAUGGAUUCUUCUCUUUACUGAAGAGACCCAAGCCUCUGACACCUUGUAGUAACUGAAAACCGCCAGCGAGACAAGUGGGAAAAGGCACACUCAGCAGAUCUGUUACUACACCUGCCUUGUCAUAGCUCAUCCCACCUUUACUUUUUUUUCAUCCCGCCUGUAAACAUGUCCACACAUCCACUUCCGCCUUCUCCACAGGCUUGUCACAGAGAAGGUGAGAGAGAAGGAAACCUUUGGAGGAGGAAGUUGCUGGUUGUUUCAUCUGAUUGGAAAAGCAUAAAUAAACUUCAUAUUUGGUUCCUGGCA
Leptonychotes weddellii (Weddell seal) is the source of this 606-nucleotide non-coding RNA. The record is from RefSeq and is a predicted model, not a curated record. NCBI's taxonomy places the organism in Eukaryota, Metazoa, Chordata, Mammalia, Carnivora, Phocidae.